This 482-nucleotide ribosomal RNA is filed under the name uncultured bacterium. RNAcentral's name for it is "bacterial SSU rRNA". It matches the Rfam family "Bacterial small subunit ribosomal RNA", at positions 28 to 521 of the family's 1533-position model. The record is from RNAcentral.
GAUGAACGCUAGCGGCAGGCUUAAUACAUGCAAGUCAAGGGGUAGCAAUACAACCGGCGCACGGGUGAGUAACGCGUACACAACAUACCAUAUACUGGAGUAUAGCUUUGGGAAACUGAAGGUAAUCCUCCAUAACAUUGCGAGAGGGCAUCUGAUUGCAAUUAAAGUUUCGGCGGUAUAUGAUUGGUGUGCGUUUGAUUAGCUAGUUGGUAGGGUAACGGCCUACCAAGGCGACGAUCAAUAGCUGGCGUGAGAGCGCGACCAGCCACACUGGAACUGAGACACGGUCCAGACUCCUACGGGAGGCAGCAGUAGGGAAUAUUGGACAAUGGAGGAAACUCUGAUCCAGCCAUGCCGCGUGAUAGAUGAAGGCCCUCUGGGUUGUAAAUAUCUUUUAUCUGGGAAGAAACGACUCCUAUUCUUAGGAACUUGACGGUACCAGAGGAAUAAGCACCGGCUAACUCCGUGCCAGCAGCCGCGGU